RNAcentral lists this ribosomal RNA (490 nucleotides) under uncultured bacterium. RNAcentral's name for it is "partial 16S ribosomal RNA". It matches the Rfam family "Bacterial small subunit ribosomal RNA", at positions 29 to 507 of the family's 1533-position model. The record is from RNAcentral.
AUUGAACGCUGGCGGCAUGCCUUACACAUGCAAGUCGAACGGCAUCGCGGGAAAGCUUGCUUUCCUGGCGGCGAGUGGCGAACGGGUGAGUAACACAUCGGAACGUACCGGCUAGUGGGGGAUAACCCGUCGAAAGACGGGCUAAUACCGCAUACGCUCUUCGGAGGAAAGCCGGGGACCUUUGGGCCUUGCGCUAGUCGAGCGGCCGAUGUCCGAUUAGCUAGUUGGUGGGGUAAAGGCCUACCAAGGCGACGAUCGGUAGCGGGUCUGAGAGGACGAUCCGCCACACUGGGACUGAGACACGGCCCAGACUCCUACGGGAGGCAGCAGUGGGGAAUCUUGGACAAUGGGGGCAACCCUGAUCCAGCAAUGCCGCGUGGGUGAAGAAGGCCUUCGGGUUGUAAAGCCCUUUCGGCAGGGAAGAAAUCGGCGGGGCGAAUAACCCUGCUGGAUGACGGUACCUGCAGAAGAAGCACCGGCUAACUACGUG